RNAcentral lists this ribosomal RNA (618 nucleotides) under Triticum aestivum (bread wheat). RNAcentral's name for it is "partial small subunit ribosomal RNA". Lineage: Eukaryota; Viridiplantae; Streptophyta; Magnoliopsida; Poales; Poaceae. The record is from RNAcentral.
AUGCUGCAGGGCCACCUCACCCGAGCACAAGACCGCUUCAAGAAACAAGCAGACAAGCAGCGCACGGAGUGCGCCUUCACCGUCGGCGACCAAGUCCUCCUCAAGAUCCAACCUUAUGUGCAGGUAUCCGUCGCCAGCCGCCCCUGUCGGAAGCUUGCUUACAAGUACUUCGGCCCGUUCACCAUCCUGGAGCAUUUCGGUGCCGUGGCGUACCGCUUGGAGCUGCCGCCGGAUAGCCGCGUCCAUCCGGUCUUCCAUGUCUCCCAGUUGAAGCCCUUCAUCCCCAACUACUCGCCUGUCUACUCCGAGCUGCCCAAGAUCCCGGACUUGACAACAACACCUCUGGUCCCGGUGGCCAUCCAAGAAAGACGCAUGGUCAAGAAAGGUUCGACCGCGCUCAGCCAAGUCCGAGUUCAGUGGUCUUCACUUCCUGUGAACGCCACCACCUGGGAAGACUACGACAUCUUGCGCUCGCGCUUUUCAUCAGCCAACAUCUGGGAAGACGCCGCAUCUCAAGGAGGGGCGCAUGUCACGCUUGUAGUUCAGGGCGAGUCGCCUGAACCUGCAGCGGACAGCGAGUGCACGAAUGGUGCAGCUACAGGUCAAGUUGGGCCGUAG